RNAcentral lists this ribosomal RNA (459 nucleotides) under uncultured bacterium. Its description in RNAcentral is "partial 16S ribosomal RNA". It matches the Rfam family "Bacterial small subunit ribosomal RNA", at positions 339 to 795 of the family's 1533-position model. The record is from RNAcentral.
CUACGGGCCGCAGCAGUGAGGAAUAUUGGACAAUGGAGGCAACUCUGAUCCAGCCAUGCCGCGUGCAGGAAGACGGCCCUAUGGGUUGUAAACUGCUUUUAUACGGGAAGAAACCCAACUACGUGUAGUUGGCUGACGGUACCGUAAGAAUAAGCACCGGCUAACUCCGUGCCAGCAGCCGCGGUAAUACGGAGGGUGCAAGCGUUAUCCGGAAUCAUUGGGUUUAAAGGGUCCGUAGGCGGACUGAUAAGUCAGGGGUGAAAUCCAACAGCUUAACUGUUGAACUGCCUUUGAUACUGUUAGUCUUGAAUUAUAUGGAAGUAGAUAGAAUGUGUAGUGUAGCGGUGAAAUGCUUAGAGAUUACACAGAAUACCGAUUGCGAAGGCAGUCUACUACGUAUAUAUUGACGCUAAUGGACGAAAGCGUGGGGAGCGAACGGGAUUAGAUACCCGAGUAGUC